Molecule: ribosomal RNA, 521 nt
Filed under: uncultured Glomeraceae
Lineage: Eukaryota; Fungi; Glomeromycota; Glomeromycetes; Glomerales; Glomeraceae
Description: SSU rRNA
Rfam family: Eukaryotic small subunit ribosomal RNA
Source: RNAcentral
AGCAGCCGCGGUAAUUCCAGCUCCAAUAGCGUAUAUUAAAGUUGUUGCAGUUAAAAAGCUCGUAGUUGAAUUUCGGGAUUAAUAUGUUGGUCGUGCCUUGGUACGUACUGGCAUUAUUGAUUCCUACCUUCUGAAGAACCUCGAUGUCAUUAAUUUGGUGUCUUGGGGAAUCAGGACCGUUACUUUGAAAAAAUUAGAGUGUUUAAAGCAGGCUCACGCUUGAAUACAUUAGCAUGGAAUAAUGAAAUAGGACGUUUGAUUCUAUUUUGUUGGUUUCUAGGAUCGACGUAAUGAUUAAUAGGGAUAGUUGGGGGCAUUAGUAUUCAAUUGUCAGAGGUGAAAUUCUUGGAUUUAUUGAAGACUGACUACUGCGAAAGCAUUUGCCAAGGAUGUUUUCAUUAAUCAAGAACGAAAGUUAGGGGAUCGAAGACGAUCAGAUACCGUCGUAGUCUUAACCAUAAACUAUGCCGACUAGGGAUCGGAUGAUGUUAAUUUUUUAAUGACUCAUUCGGCGCCUUACG